This 448-nucleotide ribosomal RNA is filed under the name uncultured bacterium. Its description in RNAcentral is "bacterial SSU rRNA". It matches the Rfam family "Bacterial small subunit ribosomal RNA", at positions 329 to 793 of the family's 1533-position model. The record is from RNAcentral.
GCCCAGACUCCUACGGGAGGCAGCAGUGGGGAAUAUUGCACAAUGGGGGAAACCCUGAUGCAGCGACGCCGCGUGAGCGAUGAAGUAUUUCGGUAUGUAAAGCUCUCUCAGCAGGGAAGAAGAUGACGGUACCUGACUAAGAAGCCCCGGCUAACUACGUGCCAGCAGCCGCGGUAAUACGUAGGGGGCAAGCGUUAUCCGGAUUUACUGGGUGUAAAGGGAGCGUAGACGGCGAUGCAAGCCAGAUGUGAAAGCCCGGGGCUCAACCCCGGGACUGCAUUUGGAACUGUGUGGCUGGAGUGUCGGAGAGGCAGGCGGAAUUCCUAGUGUAGCGGUGAAAUGCGUAGAUAUUAGGAGGAACACCAGUGGCGAAGGCGGCCUGCUGGACGAUGACUGACGUUGAGGCUCGAAAGCGUGGGGAGCAAACAGGAUUAGAUACCCGUGUACG